GCUGCCGCCCCGCCUGUGUCGCGGUCGUACCCUCCGCCCUCUGCGCCGAGAGCCGCUGCCGCCCGAGACCUUCGAGGGCUCCUCGCCCCUGCUUCCUGGGAGACCCUCUCCGCUGGGAGAGUCGCAGUCACGGAGCCGGGGGACACCUGUACGGGCAGGCGGCCGGCGAAGGCCCGGCCCGAGAGGAAGCGGGCCCCGAACGCCGCAACUGCCUGGGAAGCGGCUUUGCGUCCGGGCGUGGUGGAGCACAUCUGAGGGCCCAGCUACUCGGGAGCUGAGGCAGGAGGAUCCCUUAAGCCUGGGAAGUCAAGGCUGCAGUGAGCCGAGAUGGGUGCCACUUCACUCCAGCCUAGGCGACAGAGUGAGACUUGCAGAAGGAAAGAGAGAAAAGAAAUACAGUAACAG
RNAcentral lists this long non-coding RNA (405 nucleotides) under Homo sapiens (human). RNAcentral describes it as "non-protein coding lnc-DEGS2-7:1". The record is from RNAcentral. Lineage: Eukaryota; Metazoa; Chordata; Mammalia; Primates; Hominidae.